Molecule: transfer RNA, 72 nt
Filed under: Phytophthora infestans (potato late blight agent)
Lineage: Eukaryota; Oomycota; Peronosporomycetes; Peronosporales; Peronosporaceae
Also listed under: 1 other name
Description: tRNA-Pro
Rfam family: tRNA
About the family: Transfer RNA (tRNA) molecules are approximately 80 nucleotides in length. Their secondary structure includes four short double-helical elements and three loops (D, anti-codon, and T loops). Further hydrogen bonds mediate the characteristic L-shaped molecular structure. tRNAs have two regions of fundamental functional importance: the anti-codon, which is responsible for specific mRNA codon recognition, and the 3' end, to which the tRNAs corresponding amino acid is attached (by aminoacyl-tRNA synthetases). tRNAs cope with the degeneracy of the genetic code in two manners: having more than one tRNA (with a specific anti-codon) for a particular amino acid; and 'wobble' base-pairing, i.e. permitting non-standard base-pairing at the 3rd anti-codon position.
Source: RNAcentral
CCGCUUUUAGCUCAGUGGUCGAGCGUUGGCUUUGGAAGCCACAGGUCGGUGGUUCGAACCCGCCAGGGCACG